This 423-nucleotide ribosomal RNA is filed under the name uncultured Clostridium sp. Its description in RNAcentral is "bacterial SSU rRNA". It matches the Rfam family "Bacterial small subunit ribosomal RNA", at positions 354 to 794 of the family's 1533-position model. Lineage: Bacteria; Bacillati; Bacillota; Clostridia; Eubacteriales; Clostridiaceae. The record is from RNAcentral.
UGGGGGAAUAUUGCGCAAUGGGGGAAACCCUGACGCAGCAACGCCGCGUGAAGGAAGAAGGCCUUCGGGUUGUAAACUUUUGUCUUUAGUGAAAGAAAGGAUGGUAGCUAAGGAGGAAGCCACGGCUAACUACGUGCCAGCAGCCGCGGUAAUACGUAGGUGGCAAGCGUUAUCCGGAUUUACUGGGUGUAAAGGGUGCGUAGGCGGGACUUUAAGUCAGAUGUGAAAGAUUAGGGCUCAACCCUGAAACUGCAUUUGAAACUGGAGUUCUUGAGUGUCGGAGAGGUAAGCGGAAUUCCUAGUGUAGCGGUGAAAUGCGUAGAUAUUAGGAGGAACACCGGUGGCGAAGGCGGCUUACUGGACGAUAACUGACGCUGAGGCACGAAAGUGUGGGGAGCAAACAGGAUUAGAUACCCUGGUAGU